This 218-nucleotide ribosomal RNA is filed under the name uncultured bacterium. RNAcentral's name for it is "partial 16S ribosomal RNA". It matches the Rfam family "Bacterial small subunit ribosomal RNA", at positions 524 to 739 of the family's 1533-position model. The record is from RNAcentral.
UACGGAGGGUGCAAGCGUUAUCCGGAUUCACUGGUUUAAAGGGUGCGUAGGUGGGUUUGUAAGUCAGUGGUGAAAUCUCCAAGCUUAACUUGGAACUGCCGUUGAUACUAUAAAUCUUGAAUGUUGUGGAGGUGAGCGGAAUAUGUCAUGUAGCGGUGAAAUGCUUAGAUGUGAACAUAGUAACACCAAUUGCGAAAGGCAGCUACCACCUACAUCAA